This 326-nucleotide long non-coding RNA is filed under the name Homo sapiens (human). Its description in RNAcentral is "non-protein coding lnc-AHNAK2-3:1". The record is from RNAcentral. Lineage: Eukaryota; Metazoa; Chordata; Mammalia; Primates; Hominidae.
GGGCUGUCCUCCCACGGGUCAGGGCUGAGGGCUUUGAGAACCUGGCCUGCCUCAGCAUGGGGCGGAAAUGCCAGGAACACCACAGGAGUCGGGCCUGGACUGAGUCUGCCCUGGAGACCAAGCGUUAUGGGGGAUUGGGGGUAGGAGCAUAAACCAAGUGUGGGGACAGGGGACUCAGGCCAAGUCACUGCGGCCCAACUCCCCCCACGCUGGGGGGUCCUGCAGAGGUGGGUGGGUGCCGCCCCCACCCCAGAGCUGAACUCUGGGGGAUGCUCCCCCCACCCCACAGAGGAGACCUCAGGGUGCCCACCGUGUCCCCACUGUCC